UGGUGGGUAGUUUGACUGGGGCGGUCUCCUCCUAAAGAGUAACGGAGGAGCACGAAGGUUGGCUAAUCCUGGUCGGACAUCAGGAGGUUAGUGCAAUGGCAUAAGCCAGCUUGACUGCGAGCGUGACGGCGCGAGCAGGUGCGAAAGCAGGUCAUAGUGAUCCGGUGGUUCUGAAUGGAAGGGCCAUCGCUCAACGGAUAAAAGGUACUCCGGGGAUAACAGGCUGAUACCGCCCAAGAGUUCAUAUCGACGGCGGUGUUUGGCACCUCGAUGUCGGCUCAUCACAUCCUGGGGCUGAAGUAGGUCCCAAGGGUAUGGCUGUUCGCCAUUUAAAGUGGUACGCGAGCUGGGUUUAGAACGUCGUGAGACAGUUCGGUCCCUAUCUGCCGUGGGCGCUGGAGAACUGAGGGGGGCUGCUCCUAGUACGAGAGGACCGGAGUGGACGCAUCACUGGUGUUCGGGUUGUCAUGCCAAUGGCACUGCCCGGUAGCUAAAUGCGGAAGAGAUAAGUGCUGAAAGCAUCUAAGCACGAAACUUGCCCCGAGAUGAGUUCUCCCUGAGACUUUAGGUCUCCUGAAGGAACGUUGAA
RNAcentral lists this ribosomal RNA (589 nucleotides) under Salmonella enterica subsp. enterica serovar Indiana. Its description in RNAcentral is "partial 23S ribosomal RNA". It matches the Rfam family "Bacterial large subunit ribosomal RNA", at positions 2259 to 2842 of the family's 2925-position model. RNAcentral also lists the same sequence under 1 other name. Lineage: Bacteria; Pseudomonadati; Pseudomonadota; Gammaproteobacteria; Enterobacterales; Enterobacteriaceae. The record is from RNAcentral.